RNA transcript from Alligator mississippiensis (American alligator), 1593 nucleotides. RefSeq lists it as uncharacterized. Lineage: Eukaryota; Metazoa; Chordata; Crocodylia; Alligatoridae. The transcript is spliced from 4 exons. The record is from RefSeq and is a predicted model, not a curated record.
UGGUCCUUCUGGCCCCUGUAUCCCCCCAUAGCUCCGGGGGUCUGAACUUGGCAGGAGGUCUGGCCUCCUGGGGUAUCCAGCGAUGUUAUUUGGGAGGCGAGGGGGGCUGGACUGGAUGGGGAAAGGCUGAUGUGGGCAGGAGGGGUGUGGGGUGGGCUUUGGGGACCCAGUAACUCCCAGGACCUCCCAGUUUCCCCCUCCCUCAUGUCCUGCUCCCACCAGUCCCUUGUUUCCCUCACUCAGAGCUGGAGAAAAAACCCAGGAGUCUGGGAUCCCAGCUCCCUACUGCUGCAACCCACCAGACCCCACAUCCUCCACAGUGAACCCCACUCCUGUCCCAGAAAACCCAGGCUUCCCGCUCCCCCCCCACUCAGAACCCCAUCCCCCUCUCCUCUCCCAGAAAACCCAGGCAUCCUGCUCAAACCCCCCAGGCCCUCUCCUUUCCCAGACAACCUAGGCAUCUGGCUCCCAACCCUGCAUGCUCCAACCCGGCAGACCCUUGUCAUCACCGGGAGCCUCAGAGAGAAGCCAGGCAUCCGGGCUGGAGAGCGGACAGUCUACCCCUCUUGUGCUGAGCUCACUGCAGAGGGCUGGGGUGUGGGGGUCUGGUGGGUUACAGCAGGGGGGCAGGAGGGGAGGGCUCAGAGCCCGGAUGCCUGGGUUCCCUGUGCAUGUGGCGGGGGAGGACAAAAAGAGAUGAUGGGUGAACUCCAGCACCAGGCAGACACCCUGCCCCCCAGAUGUGACCCAUCUCUCCCCCCAACUCAAACCCCACCCCCCAGAGGACUCCCUGAUGGAGCAGAAGCACCAGAAUAGGAGCAGGGAGCCAUGGGGCACAAGGAGGGAAGCAAGGGAGGGGCUUUUCUAGCAGCCUAUCUCCUGCCUCCCCAGGCUCCGGCCUGAGCUGUGAGGAGUGUUUCAGCCUGGGGGGACCCUGCUCCGGCCCGGUGCUGCCCUGUGGUCCGGGGGAGGAGGCCUGCAUGAGCGGCAUGGGGCACUACACCCUGGAGGGAAGGACGCUGCUCAUAGCCUUCAGGUCCUGCCUGGAGCCGGACAGCUGCAGGACGACGCAUUUCAGUCUCACCUUCCGGCCCGACGUCACCGUAAGGGCGAAUGUCACUUGCUGCCAUGAGGACGGCUGCAACACGGGGGUCGUGAAGUUGCCAUCCGUGAGCUCUGUCCCCAAUGGCCGGUUGUGCCCGUCAUGCUAUGUGGAAGGAGCUAGCCAGUGCAAACGCAUGGAGCCGCUACCCUGCACUGGGGCCGAGGACCGCUGCGUUGAGUUCACCGGGACAUUGUCAGCUGGUAACAUGUCCCUGACCAAGGCGGCUGCGGGCUGUGGCACCCCUGGUGCCUGCCAGAAGCGCGUCGGGGUCACCAAAUACGCCAGAGGCAUCUUUGACACCCUCACCUGGGCUGUGUGCUACCCGGCACCCCACGGAGAGCUGUGAACCACACUUGGCCUGCCUCCGGCUUGGGGGCACCCCCUCUGGCUGCCACCUGCUGCUGUUUCUCUUGAGAGGGGACUUUUGGGGGGCAAGGGUCUUCUCUGCAGGGCAGCAGUUGAAUAAAAGCCUGGAGGACCCUUAACAA